AGAGUUUGAUCAUGGCUCAGGACGAACGCUGGCGGCGUGCCUAACACAUGCAAGUCGAACGGAAAGGCCCUUCGGGGUACUCGAGUGGCGAACGGGUGAGUAACACGUGGGUGAUCUGCCCUGCACUUUGGGAUAAGCCUGGGAAACUGGGUCUAAUACCGAAUAUGACCAUGCACUUCCUGGUGUGUGGUGGAAAGCUUUUGCGGUGUGGGAUGGGCCCGCGGCCUAUCAGCUUGUUGGUGGGGUAAUGGCCUACCAAGGCGACGACGGGUAGCCGGCCUGAGAGGGUGACCGGCCACACUGGGACUGAGAUACGGCCCAGACUCCUACGGGAGGCAGCAGUGGGGAAUAUUGCACAAUGGGCGCAAGCCUGAUGCAGCGACGCCGCGUGAGGGAUGACGGCCUUCGGGUUGUAAACCUCUUUCAGCACAGACGAAGCGCAAGUGACGGUAUGUGCAGAAGAAGGACCGGCCAACUACAUGCCAGCAGCCGCGGUAAUACGUAGGGUCCGAGCGUUGUCCGGAAUUACUGGGCGUAAAGAGCUCGUAGGUGGUUUGUCGCGUUGUUCGUGAAAACUCACAGCUUAACUGUGGGCGUGCGGGCGAUACGGGCAGACUUGAGUACUGCAGGGGAGACUGGAAUUCCUGGUGUAGCGGUGGAAUGCGCAGAUAUCAGGAGGAACACUGGUGGCGAAGGCGGGUCUCUGGGCAGUAACUAACGCUGAGGAGCGAAAGCGUGGGGAGCGAACAGGAUUAGAUACCCCGGUAGUCC
RNAcentral lists this ribosomal RNA (771 nucleotides) under uncultured bacterium. Its description in RNAcentral is "bacterial SSU rRNA". It matches the Rfam family "Bacterial small subunit ribosomal RNA", at positions 8 to 796 of the family's 1533-position model. The record is from RNAcentral.